Non-coding RNA from Nelumbo nucifera (sacred lotus), 1711 nucleotides. The record is from RefSeq and is a predicted model, not a curated record. Lineage: Eukaryota; Viridiplantae; Streptophyta; Magnoliopsida; Proteales; Nelumbonaceae.
AUGAGGCCAUAAUAGAGGAAAGAGAGCAAGGGAUUAAAGACAUACUAAUUGAAAUUGGACAAGCAAAUGACCUCACUGUUCUAGUUCAUCAGCAGAGAGUGAUGAUUGCUGAUGAGGUUGGAUCAAACAUUGAAGCCUCAUCUUCUGUGACAGCACAAGCAAAAGUUCAAAUAUCCAAGGCCUCCAAAAAGUGUGAAUUCUAGGACAUCCUGGUGUUGGUGGGUGCUACUGAUUUUUAUAUUGGUGCUGGUCAUUGUUCUCCUUGUCCUUAUAAUAUAGCAUGGUUUGCUAUUGGCCUUACAAGUGCUGAGUAUGAUCUCAACUUGAUGUAAUCACUACAAGAAAAAACAGAUAAGUCGGCGGUCUUGAACCGGCGGUCAUAAAAAAUUCCGGCCUCGAUACAUCAAUGGUGGCGAUUUUAACUUGACCGCCAUCUAUGAACUAAACUGAGGGUUAAUAUAAAGGAGGGCGGUGGUUCAAUAAAUUAGGCCGGCGUUUUCAGAUUGAAUCGGUCAUGACUCUCUCUCGGGCCGGUAUGAAGAAAACUUCCCUCUAUUUCCAAAACAUCAAAACACGCGGUACUUUGUCUUCUACAUCAAAAACGUGCGGAACAAUUAGAAAAAGUCAAGAAGUUGAGGAGUAAUUCCGAGAAGUUGAGAAAGACAAGUUCAUCAAUCUAGGUACUGUCGCUGGAAUUAUAUUUCUAUUAGUAGGGUUUAUCUUCUUUGUUCUGGGUUUCCUUUGGUGGUGAGGUUGUCUAGUUCACAAAAAUGCAAUGGAUCCAGCAAAAGGAAUUUUGGAAAGCUGAGUUGAAGGAUUUCUGUAGCAAAAAUGGAUAUGAUUUCUGUAGCAAAAGGAAUUUUGUUACAUUCUCCUUUGCUUGUAGAUGUUCUUGAAGGACAAUUGAAAUUUGAGGUCAUGGGUUAGUGGUUCAACAUACAAGUCAACUGGUUAAGCCAUGAAGCAAACAAGGUUGUUGAGUAAAUGAAGAAAACCAAAGUUUCAGGUGAGGAAGGCUUGAAAAUGUUGCAUAUGGAGGGUCCUCAUAUAUGGGUAGAUUGGAUAUUACCUUGUCCAUUGCAUUAGCAGUAAUGCACCUCUAAUUCUAUUCUUUAUCUUGAACAACGUAGUAGAGUAUCUUUUAUUGCUUAUGAUCGACUUAUAUUUUUUAUUUAGUUUUUGCUUAUAUGUGCUUGCUUUUUGUAAAAUCCAAAAUGGGUACACUUAAUGUAUGGAAAUAAAUGGAAUUUUAUCUGAAUGUCAAGUUUGUUUCAAUGGAUACACCUAAUAUAUGUAGGUGUUCACUCUUCAGGUAUGUUGAAGAUCAGUAGUCCUGUUGAUCAGGUUUCUUGAAUGAGCUUAUCAGGCGAUCAAACCUCCACCACUCAAUAUUUGUGGCUUCAAGGCCUAAAAUAGAACUCAAAGAGAACGAUGUCCCAAAAGGAUGGGACAUAUGCAUGAGUUCCAUCACUUGUGAGCCAACAUUGUAUUGCAUGUUUAAAUUCUAAGAUAGGAUAGGUAUCUAGCAUAUUAGUGUUCUAUGUUUUAACCUGUUGUUUAUUAUAUUUAUUUGUUUUUAAACAGCUACUAGACUCUGGGAUAUAGAGAGAACAUUGAUAAUCCUAAUGUCAGGUUAAGUUUCCCAUAUCUGUUGAUUCAUAAUUUAAUUCAUUGGAGAGGUAAUAACUGAAAAUUGUUUGCAUCAUCUUUA